RNAcentral lists this long non-coding RNA (380 nucleotides) under Fragaria vesca (wild strawberry). RNAcentral describes it as "long non-coding RNA (FVES_LNC001030)". Lineage: Eukaryota; Viridiplantae; Streptophyta; Magnoliopsida; Rosales; Rosaceae. The record is from RNAcentral.
GGCGGCGCUGCGAGGGUUGGAGGCGUAGGAGCUGAGACCGGGCUUGGUCUGGAGGAAGAGCUCGAGAUCUUUUCCGAUGGGGAGGAGGUUGAGGUUGUGGUCGAAGCAGAAGACAUGGACGCGGCUGCCGGAGCUGCCGGCGUCGAAGAUGACGGCGUAGGAGGUCUUGGAGGAGUGAAUCUGAAUAGGAGUCUGGGAGGGCAUGACGUAGAAGACCAUGGUGAGGAGGAGAAGAGGGACGGAGACGAGGAGGAGGAGACUGCGGUGCUUGUAGAGCUUGUCGGAGAGGGAGUCAGAGCUCCCUCUGCCAGGACGCUUCAGCAUCUGAUCGGAGGACGGCGGAGAAGUCGUCUGAGCCUCAAGCAGUUCAGCCGAGGAAG